CAGGUAACCGCCUCGGGAAUUACGGUGCAAGGUUUAAACUUAAAUGAAUUGACGGGGGGCCGCACCAACGGUUGAGCCACUUGUUUAAUUUGAAGCAAACGGAAGAACCUUUACAGGCUUUGACAAUCAGAGAACUUUCCAAAGAUGGAUUGGGGCCUUUGGGAAAUUUUACACCGGUGGUGCAUGGCCGUUGUCAGCUUGGGUCUUGAGAAGUUGGGUUAAAUUCCGUAACGAGGGCCACCCUUGUCCUUAGUUACCAGCCCGUUAUGGUGGGCACUCUAAGGAGACUGCCGGUGACAAACCGGAGGAAGGUGGGGAUGACGUCAAGUCAUCAUGGCCCUUACGGCUUGGGCUACACACGUGCUACAAUGGUGUGUACAGAGGGUUGCCAAGCCGCGAGGUGGAGCUAAUCCCACAAAACCGAUCGUAGUCCGGAUUGCAGUCUGCAACUCGACUCCGUGAAGUCGGAAUCGCUAGUAAUCGUGAAUCAGAAUGUCGCGGUGAAUACGUUCCCGGGCCUUGUACACACCGCCCGUCACACCAUGGGAGUGGGUUGCACCAGAAGUAGAUAGUCUUAACCUUCGGGAGCGACGUUUCCCACGGUGUG
RNAcentral lists this ribosomal RNA (607 nucleotides) under Pseudomonas sp. Its description in RNAcentral is "bacterial SSU rRNA". It matches the Rfam family "Bacterial small subunit ribosomal RNA", at positions 862 to 1466 of the family's 1533-position model. The record is from RNAcentral. Lineage: Bacteria; Pseudomonadati; Pseudomonadota; Gammaproteobacteria; Pseudomonadales; Pseudomonadaceae.